UGAGUGCAUCCGCGGACGAAAGGCCACCCUGGAGGAGCUGCAGACGGUGCACUCGGAAGCCCACACCCUCCUGUACGGCACGAACCCCCUCAACCGGCAGAAACUGGACAGUAAGAAACUUCUAGGCUCCCUGGCCUCCGUGUUCGUCCGGCUCCCCUGCGGUGGUGUUGGGGUGGACAGUGACACCAUAUGGAACGAGGUGCACUCGGCGGGGGCAGCCCGCCUGGCUGUGGGCUGUGUGGUAGAGCUGGUCUUCAAGGUGGCCACGGGGGAGCUGAAGAAUGGCUUUGCUGUGGUCCGCCCCCCUGGACACCAUGCGGAGGAGAGCACACCCAUGGGCUUUUGCUACUUCAACUCCGUGGCCGUGGCAGCCAAGCUUCUGCAGCAGAGGUUGAGUGUGAGCAAGAUCCUCAUCGUGGACUGGGACGUGCACCAUGGAAACGGGACCCAGCAGGCUUUCUACAGUGACCCCAGCGUCCUGUACGUGUCCCUCCACCGCUACGACGAUGGGAACUUCUUCCCAGGCAGCGGGGCUCCUGAUGAGGUGGGCACAGGGCCCGGCGUGGGUUUCAACGUCAACAUGGCUUUCACCGGCGGCCUGGACCCCCCCAUGGGAGACGCUGAGUACUUGGCGGCCUUCAGGUGAGCCUCCCGGCUUCACAUGACACCUGAAGUAGCAGCUUUUCCUCUGUGCACACAUUCCAGGAAGCACUUGUUGGAAAUGAGCGUGUCUGAAACUGGUCUGCGGCUGAACAGGGCUGCGGGGGCCAUAGGAGCUGUCUCAGUUCAUUCUUCAGUGCCGAGCGUGGAAUCUUGGAG
Molecule: small RNA, 819 nt
Filed under: Pongo abelii (Sumatran orangutan)
Lineage: Eukaryota; Metazoa; Chordata; Mammalia; Primates; Hominidae
Description: retained intron
Source: RNAcentral